UUAACUUAGAAGCAACAGCCAGCACCAGGCACCUCCAUGGUCGGUACUGCAGGGAACAUCCCAGAGUGCUACACUCCGGCCCGGUCGCUAUGGUAGCGCCCGUGAUGGAGCAUGGUCGUCGUCGACAGCGUUGAGCACAGCGUUUCAUCCUGUCAGUUGCUUGGGACUGCUGGAUGUAAACGGAUCUCAGGGGCCGGAGAACCAUCAAACCAGCCAAUCGCCCACCGCCGUCGAUGAUAGUGUGUUUGGGUUAAAUUUUGAACCGUUUUGUCAACUGUUGGUGGGGCCACAAUUGUUGAUAACGAAGUGCAAUGGUACAUUAAGCUAAGCGAAGGGAAGUGAUAGUGAGGAGGAAAGCGGCGGAUGGUAGUUGUCUUGCGAAGAAGCGGGCAACGGACGCUCCAAGAGACGUCGUGGAAAGGCAGCGGCCGCUGGUGAUUAGCUGGUGUGAAAUUGCGUGUACAGUUACGAUCGAGCAUGUUGUAGGUGUAUGGCAAUAACGAACCUCGAGACGCAACUCGAGCAUCGUCCCAGCCGCUGGGCCGGCGGCAGGUGAGCCAGACUGACUGGCUGUUGAAUAAAUAAUUCGGCAAAGCUUUUACUGUGAAGCCAAGUGAAGGAAAGUGGAUAAUUGAAUGUGCAAGCAUUAAUCUGCAGCGCGCUGCUCAUCGGGGUAAUUGAAAUUGCGGCAAGUGUUUCCGAGAUUUCGCGGGCGCGUGAGCUUGGCCAAGAUGAUGGUCCGGGAGGACGCGACGGAGCUGGUGCGCGUUGAUCUUGCGAAAGUUUGAAAUCCAACAGUCGAAGGUCGAAAUCGAGAAAAUAGCAUCAAAUUCGAUCCUGGUCAUCAAUGGCCAUAUUAAAUUAAGGCAGAAUUGAUCAAAUUUCGCACAUUACACGCGUCGUGUGUCUGUGUGAGUCGAACGGGAGCGCCUACUUCGGUCAGACGGGCAUGAUCGACGCUGGAGGCAGAGUAGGCGACGGACAGGAUGGACAGAUACAGUUCGAUAGGCUCGAGUUCGAAAGUCCGGAGGAUUUGAUGCGCCAUCUCUACUACACCUGCAUGCGGUCAAACACGAGCGAGCCACCGUGGACCACCGAUGGUAGUACGGUGUUUUGCCCGCGCCGGUUCGACGGAUGGUCCUGCUGGGAACCGACGCUGGCUGGGACGGUGGCGGAAAACUGGUGCCCAAAGUUUGUGCUAGGCUUUGAUCCACGGCGGCUCGCCUAUCGCACAUGUCAUGAGAAUGGGUCCUGGUUCGUACAUCCACACUCCGGACGGGAAUGGUCCAACUACACCAACUGUAUCGACACGGAAGAUAUGCAGCUUCGUCGGUUGGUAAACGACAUCUACAUCGGUGGAUACACGGUUUCGUUCUUAACGCUAAUUAUAUCACUGUGUAUUUUCCACAGCUUUCGGACGCUGAAAUGCACCCGCAUACGGAUACACAUCCAUUUGUUCACCUCCUUGGCGCUAAGCUGCCUGUUCUGGAUCGUCUGGUACAAGUUUGUCGUGGAGGAUCCGGAUGUCCUAAAUGCAAAUACGGGUUGGUGCGUCGGGCUGCACAUUCUGCUACACUACCUGAUGCUGGUUAAUUAUUUCUGGAUGUUCUGCGAAGGACUACACCUGCAUCUUGUGCUAGUUAUACUGCUGGAUGAACGAAAGCCAUGCCAUGUGGCUGCUGACGAUUCCGGUGUGCUUUUCGCUAGUGGCCUCACUGGUGUUUCUUAUCAACGUCGUCCGAGUGUUGCUGACGAAGCUAAGCUCCACCUCGCCCCAUCCAGCACCGCUCGGACUGCGGAAAGCGACGCGUGCCACCUUGAUUCUCAUUCCCCUGUUUGGUCUGCAGCACAUCCUGCUGCCGUUUCGGCCGGAGAAGGGCUGCUCGCUGGAACGGUACUAUCAGAUCGGGGCCGCCCUGCUGAUCAGCCUGCAAGGUUUGUGCGUUUCGUGCCUGUUCUGCUUCGCAAACCACGACGUCAUCUUUGCGGUGCAGUGCUACCUGAGCCGAUUUUUCCCCGACCUCGUGACGCACCCGUUUCUCGAGAGCAACGGUGGGCAGCCGGCCACGCAAAGCCGCGACGUGGUCGUAUGACUACUGAACGUGCGUCGCUCCACACCGACGAGCAUAAGCCCGCGCGAAGCGACUCCCCGCGAGCUGGCCCAGUGUGCCGUAUGAGCCGUGUGUCUGUUGCUGUGGUGUCGUUGUUGUCGGUGGAAAAGGAAAACCCCAGCGCCAGAGGAUCCAUUGGCUGCGGUCAAUGAAAUCGCCGUAGGUGUCCUUCGCGAUGGCGAGAUUUUGGGGGUUCAACUCACAUGAUGUAUGUGCUGCUAUGAAUCCGUUGGUGUUCGUAUUUCGGUGUUUCUGUGGUAAAUAAUAAUGUGACUGCGUGUACAAAAUGUAAUGUUCCUGAAGCACAAACACAAAUGUGUAGCGAGAAGGUGGUGGCACGGGAUCCACUACAUUUUGGGUGACUAAAAAUAUGUUUAACAAUACUAGCUGCAAGCGGAGCGUUGGCCGCAUUCAGGACUGCAUCCUGUAGCGCACAUCCGGCACCAGAAUCGGGUGAACGAAGAGAGAAAUAAAGAAUAUUUUUACUUGAGCAGCAGCGGCAAAAGGCGUUUUCGUUGCCGUUGACGGUGUUCAAAUGCAAACCGUGAGAACUUUCCAGGAAUCGCUUAUCGGUGCGGCGGGGACCGGAUCGCACGGGCCACGGAGAAAGGUAAAUCGAUUUCGUUCAAUUUUCAAACAGCAGGUACAAGCAAAAAUAAAAUAUUACCUAUCGACAUACGUACCAUUCCCGGCCGUGACUACAGGUAUGGGUUUGCAUUAGGAUGGCAAACGGAAACGGAUGGAAGACACGAGUAUGUGGCUCGAGACGAUCGGUUGUAGGAUUAAAUUUUCAUAAGAAACGUUUCGUACGGGCCAUGCAAAGCAAAGCGGCAACACUGGAGUUGAUUGCAUUGCGUACAGUGGGCAGUUGCGGUGUUAUGUGGUGCCAUUUGUUGACUUUUUAAUGAUUAACUUGUCUUUUCUUUAUUCAGUACACAACCUUUCGAACCAAAACUUACAAGUGAUAACAGGUGGGGGAUUGAAUUGAUAUGAAGAACCUUGACAUCGGCCCGUAAUCAGGUCGACAUGCCUGGAUGCUGGGUGGAUCGAAGUGCAGACAGUUGACGUGUAGAGGGCGCUGUUCCGUAUAACAAACUGUACGCGACAACCGUUAUACCAAACAGCCGAACAGGGAGUGACGUAAGUACAGUUGAACAGAUAGCUACAAGGUGCUUAUGAUUUACGUUGAUAUUCUAUUGUUGUAGUGAUUUACACCUUCAAUCUUAAGUUUAGUUGUCAGUAUAUCAAACAGGAGAUCAUUAAAAUAGCAUUAUCACACAGUUUGGGAGAAAAUCAUUUCAAUUACAUCUACCGCAACACCAAACUAAACCCCUGAUGAUGAUGGUGAUGCUAGAAUGGUUUGCGGAGGCUUCUUUGCUUGGAUUCAAGCGCCUGCUUCAAACUGAUCAAACUGACCAUCAGUUUAGAAUGGAGCGUACCAGAGGACACUUGGCUGUGGCCGUAGCGAUUGUGGCAAUACUGUUGAUUGAAUCCUCCAGACCGUCGUUGCUGCUCUCGAACCUGCACUUUACAGCACGCUGGAUGAGAGACCAACGACACCGCUGGAACGUUCUGGCACGGUGGUAUCCGUGGUUGUACGCGGCCGAUAAGCAACUGCCAGCAGCGAGUGGUGCCAACAUUUGUGCCAACAACGAAACAUUUGCCCUGUUCGAUAGGCCGUGUGGCAAAUCUUGCGGCACGUAUGGCCAGAUUUGCCCAUAUGUGCGACACAGCGGAUGUGUUUGCACACGGGGGCAUGUGCGGAACGAGAGCGGCCACUGCAUACACUACACGGAUUGUACGAAAAUGCUAGAUGACGUGGAGUUUUUGCAUUAAUGUGGGUGGAAUUGCACUGCAGGGAAUAAUGCUUCGAAUAGUUAUGUUUUAGUGUGUUGUCGAUACUAAAGCAGUGAUGCGUUCAACUGCAUCAGUCAGUAGGUAUGCUUAGAAGGGUGGUUUGUUAGGUAUCAUUCACUUCUGUUCAUCUGCUCCAGUUGAAGAAGUUUGUAUAAGUGACUAAGCUGGAGAAGCUGGCACUUGCACAUGUGUUUUAAAGCACCCGGCCAUUUCCCCUAAUAUUUGCGGUUCGUCGACGCCCAAGGGCAUGUGAAUGAAAUCUGUUGCGUUUCAGUAUUGCCAAAAUCGUAUAUAACGGCCCCAAAACAUGCCAACCAUAUUCAGUUCAGUCGAAAGGCUUCCAAGAAAACAAUCACCAUGAAACUGACUUACAUUUUCUACAUCUUCCUGGGCAUUAUGCUUAUCCUGAGCGUUGUUGACGCACAGCGCCCCGGCAGUUCCCGCUCGCCAGCUAGCCGCACUCCCAGGACGCGCAAGCCGACCCGUGUGUGGCCGAAGCGCACCCGCCGCACGAGACCGACCAAAACCGGUCGCCCGAGCGCUGCCCCAGUCACCUCGAAACCGGCCCUCGGUUAAAAUGCUGCCCAAAUCGACACUACAAUAGCUCUUCCCUUUUGAGAACAUGGAGAUAUAUAUUCUACCAAUUGCAAUGGAAUCAAGACGAUUGAAUAAAAUGGAUUAAAUACCAA
Molecule: RNA transcript, 4657 nt
Organism: Anopheles merus
Lineage: Eukaryota; Metazoa; Arthropoda; Insecta; Diptera; Culicidae
Gene: hec
Gene name: calcitonin gene-related peptide type 1 receptor
Exons: 11
Source: RefSeq, a predicted model, not a curated record